ACUGAACGCUAGCGGCAGGCUUAACACAUGCAAGUCGAGCGGGGUGAUGGUGCUUGCACUAUCACUUAGCGGCGGACGGGUGAGUAAUGCUUAGGAAUCUGCCUAUUAGUGGGGGACAACAUCUCGAAAGGGAUGCUAAUACCGCAUACGUCCUACGGGAGAAAGCAGGGGAUCACUUGUGACCUUGCGCUAAUAGAUGAGCCUAAGUCGGAUUAGCUAGUUGGUGGGGUAAAGGCCUACCAAGGCGACGAUCUGUAGCGGGUCUGAGAGGAUGAUCCGCCACACUGGGACGGAGACACGGCCCAGACUCCUACGGGAGGCAGCAGUGGGGAAUAUUGGACAAUGGGGGGAACCCUGAUCCAGCCAUGCCGCGUGUGUGAAGAAGGCCUUAUGGUCGUAAAGCACUUUAAGCGAGGAGGAGGCUCUUUUGGUUAAUACCCAAGAUGAGUGGACGUUACUCGCAGAAUAAGCACCGGCUAACUCUGUGCCAGCCGCCGCAGUAA
Molecule: ribosomal RNA, 503 nt
Filed under: uncultured bacterium
Lineage: Bacteria
Description: partial 16S ribosomal RNA
Rfam family: Bacterial small subunit ribosomal RNA
Source: RNAcentral